Oxyura jamaicensis (ruddy duck) is the source of this 152-nucleotide long non-coding RNA. RefSeq lists it as uncharacterized. The transcript is spliced from 3 exons. The record is from RefSeq and is a predicted model, not a curated record. Lineage: Eukaryota; Metazoa; Chordata; Aves; Anseriformes; Anatidae.
UGGCUCCAGCAGCCCCUGCUGUCUCCAGCACCUUCUCUAGUGAGCGCCAAGCCCCUGCCCGGAGGCUGGGCUGGCAGUGUAAACAUUGCAGCGGCGCGUCGCUACCCGGGGUCCUCCUCGUCCUCCCCCACCAGCACGUUAAAACCAGGCUC